AAAUAGGAGUGCAGCAUAAUUCCGCUCAUCAAAAUUUGGAUAUUCGUAACAAGAGUGUGGAUGGUUUAAACUCAAGUUUUGUCGUAUGUUAGCAGUGUGUUGCAAUACAAAAUGUAGGUCUCCAGUUGAUAUGAGUAAUUGCCUGCCUGUGUUUCUUAUUUGGCUGCUUCACAAUUCACUAGACGUUUGAGUGUUCCUUGCUUGCACCAAAAUGUAACCUUAGACUCUUCUGUUCAUACUAAACAAUUUGUUAUCUGAACUUAUAAUUUGUAUUAGCCAUUACUGAAAUCCUUUUAUUCAGCUAAGGUUUGUAUUAAAGAUCUAAAAUGAAUGAAUAAAGUUGUCCGUUCUGUAACAGUUAAAGUUUUUUAGAUGAGGUGGUUCACACAGUUCAACAUAGUAUUAAAA
This 408-nucleotide unclassified non-coding RNA is filed under the name Hevea brasiliensis (rubber tree). Lineage: Eukaryota; Viridiplantae; Streptophyta; Magnoliopsida; Malpighiales; Euphorbiaceae. The record is from RNAcentral.